RNAcentral lists this ribosomal RNA (440 nucleotides) under uncultured bacterium. Its description in RNAcentral is "partial 16S ribosomal RNA". It matches the Rfam family "Bacterial small subunit ribosomal RNA", at positions 338 to 795 of the family's 1533-position model. The record is from RNAcentral.
CCUACGGGAGGCAGCAGUGGGGGAUAUUGCACAAUGGGGGAAACCCUGAUGCAGCAACGCCGCGUGAGUGAAGAAGGUCUUCGGAUUGUAAAGCUCUGUUCUUGGUGAAGAUAAUGACGGUAGCCAAGGAGAAAGCCCCGGCUAACUACGUGCCAGAAGCCGCGGUAAUACGUAGGGUGCGAGCGUUGUCCGGAUUUACUGGGGGUAAAGGGUGCGCAGGCGGCUCUGCAAGUCAGGCGUGAAAGCUAGGGGCUUAACCCUUAGACUGCACUUGAAACUGGGGAGCGUGAGUGAAGUAGAGGCUGGCGGAAUUCCCAGUGUAGCGGUGAAAUGCGUAGAGAUCGGGAGGAACACCAGUGGCGAAGGCGGCCUGCUGGGCUUUAACUGACGCUCAGGCACGAAAGCAUGGGUAGCAAACAGGAUUAGAUACCCCAGUAGUC